This 117-nucleotide small RNA is filed under the name Streptomyces colonosanans. RNAcentral's name for it is "Streptomyces sp. MUSC 93 Actinobacteria sRNA Ms_IGR-7". It matches the Rfam family "Actinobacteria sRNA Ms_IGR-7". Lineage: Bacteria; Bacillati; Actinomycetota; Actinomycetes; Kitasatosporales; Streptomycetaceae. The record is from Rfam by way of RNAcentral.
CAGAGGUGCCUCGCCGAUCGAGCGUGGUGGAAGCACAGGAACUCCCACCAUCGCAGGUCAGCAGGCACCUCUCGCUGUUCCGUCCUCCGCAGGCCGAACGUCACGCCGUGGAUCGAG